This 1761-nucleotide non-coding RNA is filed under the name Pan troglodytes (chimpanzee). Lineage: Eukaryota; Metazoa; Chordata; Mammalia; Primates; Hominidae. The record is from RNAcentral.
AGCGGCCGAGUCCAGCAAUGUGGACAGCCAGACGCAUGCUUGGUGGAGGCAGCCAGCGCCCCCGUCCUGGUCUCGGUCAUCAGUUCCAUCAAUGACAAAUGCUGCUGGGGCCCAUGAGGACCACCUGCGCCACUCACAUGUUGCUUUCCUUCUGCGAUCUGCUAGCUUCCGAGAUGGCCAAGGCAGAUGCACUCAUGGCUCAGUGAGAAGGUGAACGUCGCCUCUGCGUUCACUGCUAAUGGAGACUGGAGUAACGAUGUCUGGUCUGCGUUAAGGCGGGCAGCUCGGCGGCCCACACCUUUGGUUUUUUGGUCUCAGGCCCAUUAUGGAUAAGCUGGUGUGGGGUGGGGCAGGGGAGUUUCAGGGGCUGGAAUGGCCUCAUGGCAGCCCCACGUAGAGGCUGCCUGGCCCCUGGACUGGCCCCACCAAGGGGAACAGGACAUUGCAGCUGGGCUUGGGGAAGAAGGGAGGCCUGUCCUUUUGAUUCUUCUUUCUGGCAUCCUGUGUGUGCACGUCUGUGUAAGUGUGUGUACACAUGUACACCUGCCUAUAGUUUCUUUCCACUUGGAAUUGGUUUUGACAAAAAGGUGCGUCAGCUUCCCAAGCUGGUCCCUGCAACAGUGAGGGAUGGAGCCUCAUCCUCAUCCCAGAGCCACACCCUCAGCUUCCCCCGGAAAAGGCAGCGGCUUCUUCUGAUGCAUGGAUACAGCCCCCACUACGGAGCUGGGGAGGGAGCUGCAGGCAGCCUUGACCCCAGACCAAAUUCAAAGGACCUGCCUCUUCCAAAGGCCUCCCUCCAAGGGCCACGGGGACCCCAUGACCGUCCUCUCAUCCCAAGCUGGCUGCAUGGGGUGGGCUGGUUUAUCGCAGAUAAGACUGCACCCGCUGAUGAGGCCAGAUGCAGGUGAACCCCAGUGCUGCCAAUGAGGAGUCUGCAGAUGGGGUGAGGCUGAAAGGCAGUUGUGGAAGGCCGGGCAGUGGCAGCCACAUGGCAGAGGAGGGGGUGGGAGACCCGGGGCAGGGAUGGAACAGCCAUGGGGUGCAGGAGACUGCACCCCCUGUGAAGGACAGGCCAGCGGCCAGCCCCCAGGCCACCCUGGCUCCUGUCAGCAUCCCAGGUCGAGUCCACUGUCAUCCUCAUCUGAACACCCUGACUGCAUCUAACACCAGGGCAUCUGCUUCCUGGCCUCUGCAGGGCCCACUCUACAGCCUCUGACGCUAUGUGCAAUGGUCUCAGGGUCAGGGCCAAGAGCACUGUGAUAGCGAAUUUCAUGUGUCAACCUGAGUGGGCCUUGGGUGCCUAGACAUUUGGCCAAGCAUCGUUCUGGGUGUGCUGUGGGUGUUUCCAGGUGAGAUUAGCAUGUGAAGGGUGGCCCUCCCCAGGGUGGUGGGCCUCGUCCAAUCAGUUGGGGGCCUACAUAGAGCCAAAGGCUGAGUGACAGGGCCUCCUCCUGUGACGGCUGCAGCUGGGACCUCAGUCUUUUCCUGCCUUUGGGCUUGGACUGCAAUACCAGCUCUUCUUGGGUCUUCAGCCUUCAGGCUGGAACCUGCAGCAGCAUUUCUCUGGUUCUUGGGCCUUCAGACUCAGACUGGACCGAAACCAUCAGCUCUCCUGGGCCUCCAGCUUGCCAGCGACAGGUCUCGGGAUUUGCCCCUUCCAUAAGUGCUUGAGCCAGGUCUUCAGGAUAAAUCUCUUUCCACCUAUCCUGUUGGUUGUGUUUCUCUGGAUAACUCAGACUAAUACAAGCCAGUCCUUCCAUG